Molecule: long non-coding RNA, 132 nt
Organism: Xiphophorus couchianus (Monterrey platyfish)
Lineage: Eukaryota; Metazoa; Chordata; Actinopteri; Cyprinodontiformes; Poeciliidae
Exons: 3
Source: RefSeq, a predicted model, not a curated record
UUUUUGAAACUGCUUAUUUUCCAGACACCAAAAAACAUUAACUUACUGCCAAAAACCAGCUGUGUGGUUUGUUUUAAGCAUGUGGGCUGAUUUCAGAAGCAGUAAAAACCCAAAUGGAAGAAUAAAAACAUG